RNAcentral lists this long non-coding RNA (2286 nucleotides) under Mus caroli (Ryukyu mouse). Its description in RNAcentral is "predicted gene, 38348 (MGP_CAROLIEiJ_G0034484.1)". The record is from RNAcentral. Lineage: Eukaryota; Metazoa; Chordata; Mammalia; Rodentia; Muridae.
UCUGUAUAUCUGUAGCAUCUGCAGAGGUUGUGUUAUGAAAUCAUACUUGAAUGAUACCCAGAUAUUUUAAAAAAGAAGUAUUUUCACAUUCCUCCCUCUGGGUAUGGUUUUUUUUUCUCUUAUGUGUGGUUGAUUUCCUGUGGGCUAGGUUCUGAAUUCUAGAAGGCAAAGCUUCAGGAAGGAGCUGUGACAAGUUGCCCGGUUUGAAAUCUCCUGCGUACAUAAUCACUGUAGCAGAUAUAAUUGGAGCUAAUUUCAUAUUUCCUGCAUAUCAUAUUGGAAAAUUGAGCUGUCAUAUCUAUUUAAAGGCUACAUGCCCAAAUGAGAACACCCAAGGCUUGUUUCUUUCAAUACAUUUCUGCAGGAGGAUUUCUUCUCUCAUGAACUUCAAGACUUGUACUAGAAGCCAAAUUUGUCUAGUUGAGUGCACUUUGAAGUUUACAUCUGCAUUGUCUAUGGAAUUUAGAAAAUGGACAGGGGACAAGCUGAGAAAGCAAAGCCAUUUUUGAGCUGUCCUUUUCCAUUAAAAAUCCCUGUACUUCCAGAGCAUUUUAAAUUGUGGGUUACUGUAAGGCCAGUAUGUUACACGUUGUGGGUUCAAGUAGGUCUUGUUCAUCUGUUAUCUGUGUGUCCUCUCAUACCUAUGUAAUCAAAGCAUGGUUAAUAGAAAUGGUUGGGAACCUGUCAGCCUGCCUCGGAGAGAAAUUAAGCUAUGUGCUAUGAACGUAUACCCCAGAAGAUAGGAACCCGCAGCUGUGGCACUUAUCAAUCAUCUAACCUGUCAACAACUUCUAUGUUUAUGUCCUUUCCCUGUGGCUUUUUCUGACCUUGUUUGCAUCUUGUGUGUUUUCACCAAAGAAGCUUGGCUGGGAGGAAGUGUGUGUGUGUGGGGGGGCCUCUAAGUGUACCCUUAUACAAGUAUGUAGGCUAGAGGACAACCUUGAAUACUGUUCCUCAUAAUUGCUACUCAUCCUAUUUUUGAUACCAUCAUCUAGGUGCUUGCCCAUUAGGCUGUGUUUCAACUGUUUAUCCUGAGACCAAGGAGUAUAGGAGAUCAUGUGUCCUGUAAGCAAGGGUUUUUUUUUUUUUCCCUUCAGUGGAGCAAAUUCCCCUCUUUCAUUUAUGCAGAAUGGAAAGGUGGAAUACAUGGUAGAGUUUCCUCUGAAAGAGUUCUUCCUGAGAGUUCUCUAAUCCUUAGAACCCAUGCCCAGCCAGUCCUCACAGAGCAGGGAAUAGUCAUUUGGAAACACUCGAAAUAGUCUUUCCCCAGGCAUUCCUCCCAAGUGUCCACAUCUUAGGCUCUGGCUCUAAUUGAAUGUUCCUAGUGAAUUCUCAUAAAUUCUGGCAUGGAUGCUCCCUCAAACCAAUACAGUGCAUUACAUGCAUAUCUCUGUGUGGACCAAGAGGAAGAGAAGAACUUCACAUAAACAGUAGGAUAGGAUGGCCCCAGACAAUGAUUGACUUUGCUGGGCUGAGUGUAAAGCUGGAAGAAUCCGCAUAAACGACCAAGAAAGGGAAUCAAGGGGGCAGUUGAAGAGUAGAGUUCUUAGCUUAUAAAGUUGUUUUGGCUCCAGUCAAUCUGUCAGAGGCUAAGCACUGUCUUCUGCACGAGUUCCUGUUCUUGCUGCUGUAAUCAAGUGCGUGACCAAAGCAUCUUAAGGGGCGGGGGGCGCAGAGGGGAGGACGGGUCUGCUGUGGCUCAUAGUUCAGAAUGCACAUUCCUACACAGCAGCAGAGUGGAGAGCCAGUGGCAAAUAGUUUAGCGUCUUCCAAAAAUGGACACUUUCUGUUCCUUCGUGAAUAAAGAAGGCAGAAUAGGUAAAGGAGAUGAGUUAGUUGAUAAUGCCCUCAACAGGACAUCUGGGGGAAUAAUGCAGCGCUGUCCUGUUUCCCUGUCCAGCCUGUGCUCAUGUCUCAUCCAAACUCCCAAGCCCUACACAGAAACCUCACGUUUUCCAGGGCUAAGAGGACUGAGCUCCAUGCAAACUGGUUGCUCCAAACUUACUCACAUUAAGUUCUCAUUGGUAACUUUGGGGGAUGGGAAAUAUCUAAUCCUGAACAUGUUUAUUUGUAAAAGUUGGAUUAAGGAGGUUGGUGCCUGGUGAGACAGCUUACUUGUUGCUUACGUGACAGGACCUGAGAUUAAUCCCCAAGAGCCAUAUUAUAAACACAUCUAGGCCUGGGUGGUGUACAUUGAAUAUAUGUAUCCUAUGGAAUCCAAUUAGUGUGGACCUUAUUUGCAUGUGUUUAUAGCUGACCACAUAGGACUGGGGUCUCUCAUCCCUG